RNAcentral lists this long non-coding RNA (733 nucleotides) under Prunus dulcis (almond). Its description in RNAcentral is "sRNA ncRNA". Lineage: Eukaryota; Viridiplantae; Streptophyta; Magnoliopsida; Rosales; Rosaceae. The record is from RNAcentral.
AUGCAAAUUCUUUAGUGCUAUGGAGUAAGUUGGUACAAAUAGUUUCUAAUUUCGAUAAUUUUUGUUUUUCCUCCGUGCUCUAAUGCUCGGUUGUUUUUUGUCCUUGCAGUUUUCUGGCAUAAAUGGGGUUCUAUAUUACACUCCUCAGAUUCUUGAGCAAGCAGGGGUUGCAAUUCUCUUAUCAAAUUUGGGCCUUAGCUCCACCUCUGCCUCUAUUCUCGUAAGUGCUCUAACAACCUUGUUGAUGAUGCUUCCAUCCAUAGGCAUUGCCAUGAGACUAAUGGAUGCCACUGGCAGAAGGUAUAGUUGUCCCUUUGUGCCACUAAUCAAAGCCUGAACUUUUCCCUUCAUCUUUAUACUCUUCUGUCUCCAUUGCAGGUCACUGUUGUUGACGACGCUGCCUGUACUGACGGGGACUCUCCUAGAAUUAAGUUUCGGACAACUUGUCCAUAUGGGUUCUGUUGUCAAUGCAACAAUUUCCACCAUCAGUGUGGUGGUCUACUUCUGCUGCUUUGUCAUGGGCUUUGGACCAAUUCCUAACAUUCUUUGCUCCGAGAUCUUCCCCACUUGCGUUCGCGGCCUCUGCAUCCCCAUAUGUGCCCUCACAUUUUGGAUUGGAGACGUCAUUGUCACUUACACAUUGCCUAUCAUACUCACCUCCAUUGGUCUUGCACACCAUUUCUUGGGUGUUUGUGUUCUUGAAGGUGCCGGAAACAAAGCGCAUGCCCCUUGA